Molecule: long non-coding RNA, 210 nt
Filed under: Panax ginseng (ginseng)
Lineage: Eukaryota; Viridiplantae; Streptophyta; Magnoliopsida; Apiales; Araliaceae
Description: long non-coding RNA (PGIN_LNC000537)
Source: RNAcentral
AACGAUAAGUAUACAUUACUUUAUUUUGUUCAAGUGUUGAGUUCAGUUCAUUCAAUACUGUUCAUUAAAUUCUAUCCAUUAAAUUCAGUUCACUUCAUUUCAUAAAUUAACUGUUAUACGCCUUAUCUAGUUCAUGUCCUAAGUUAAGUUCAUACAGAUUAAUUGAUACUGAAUUAUUGACAAGAAAUGUUCACACAGAAGUAAUAAGGC